Long non-coding RNA from Anarrhichthys ocellatus (wolf-eel), 1164 nucleotides. RefSeq lists it as uncharacterized. The record is from RefSeq and is a predicted model, not a curated record. The transcript has 2 exons. NCBI's taxonomy places the organism in Eukaryota, Metazoa, Chordata, Actinopteri, Perciformes, Anarhichadidae.
UGGUGGGGAAGAUGGUGGAGAAGGAGAAGAUGGAGGAGAAGGAGGAGAAGGAGCAGAUGGUGGAGAAGGAGAAGGUGUGCGGCGUCGCAACAAAAGCUGAGGAGGCCAACAACACUGACAAGACUGUGAAUCCCACUGAAGGAAGCGACUGAAGGACUUUUUUUUGUCCGAGGAAGGAGACAGUUUGAGGAAAAGACGGCCGAUGUGGUUAUAACCGGAUCACUGGAUGGAAACGGACCUCAAAACCAUCCUCACCCACACCUCUCUCACCCAGAGAGGGAGGCAUGACCUCCCCCACUUUGUGAGAUGGACACUAAAGCCACUAACCUCCCUCCCUCCCUCCCCUAUACACCCACUCCCUCCCUCCCCCGUUGUGUCCACCCCUUCGCUGCACAGACCUUCUCCAGCGUCCUCCCGUCCGCCAUUUUCCCCUCAGAAGGAAGUUCCAGUGGAGGAGGAGGUGGAGGGAGGGAGGGGUGACACCAUUUCUGUUCCGCCUGCCCGCUGUGCCGGGAGAAAGGAAAGAGGGGGCAGAUCCGGAGGAAAAAGGGAGAUUUUUUUGGACUUUUACCGACCAAAUGAACCCUCCGAAGAGGAUCGACGGAGCGUCGACACAGUCUGUUUUUUGGGGGACGGAAAAACUGCACAGCACUUUUCUCUCCGGGGUGCUUUGCCUUAAAAGGCCUUAAAGUAAAUAAAACGACCGUGUGCCAUCUUCGUACUCUCCCUUUUUUCUCCCCUACCGACGUGCACUCAAACACUUUUGACUUCAUGCUUGCAGCUUACUUUAAAAACGCAGCACUGACAUUCAUCCGAUCAUCUCUUUCUACUCACUCUUUAUUUCUUAUCUGUACAUAUUUUUGGUUAAAUAAUUGUCCAGUUUUCGGGGGGGGGGGGGAAGAAGACGUCUGGAGUUGUGUGAUCCAAAGAGGGCGAGCACCCUGUGUGAAGAGAAGCAUCGUAGACUACGUGGAAUCUGUGUCGUAGCAUCAAAGUGCUUCUUCACGUCACCAACGUGAACCUGCGUUUGUUUUUAAUGGAACUUUCUUAUGAAAUACAUUUUUUUGACUGUAGAAGAACUGAACUCUCACCAGAGUUCUAUACUUUAGGAUCGAUGUAUAAUUUUUACAGAUGGUAUUUGCAGAAUAAACAGAAUGUAACAAA